CGGGGUGAGUAACACGUGGAUAGCCUACCUAUAAGACUGGGAUAACUACGGGAAACCGGAGCUAAUACCGGAUAAUAUAUUGAACCGCAUGGUUCAAUAGUGAAAGACGGUUUUGCUGUCACUUAUAGAUGGAUCCGCGCCGCAUUAGCUAGUUGGUAAGGUAACGGCUUACCAAGGCAACGAUGCGUAGCCGACCUGAGAGGGUGAUCGGCCACACUGGAACUGAGACACGGUCCAG
RNAcentral lists this ribosomal RNA (238 nucleotides) under uncultured bacterium. Its description in RNAcentral is "partial 16S ribosomal RNA". It matches the Rfam family "Bacterial small subunit ribosomal RNA", at positions 104 to 334 of the family's 1533-position model. The record is from RNAcentral.